This 497-nucleotide ribosomal RNA is filed under the name uncultured bacterium. Its description in RNAcentral is "partial 16S ribosomal RNA". It matches the Rfam family "Bacterial small subunit ribosomal RNA", at positions 28 to 507 of the family's 1533-position model. The record is from RNAcentral.
GAUGAACGCUGGCGGCGUGCCUAAUACAUGCAAGUCGAGCGAACGGACGAGAAGCUUGCUUCUCUGAUGUUAGCGGCGGACGGGUGAGUAACACGUUGAUAACCUACCUAUAAGACUGGGAUAACUUCGGGAAACCGGAGCUAAUACCGGAUAAUAUUUUGAACCGCAUGGUUCAAAAGUAAAAGACGGUCUUGCUGUCACUUAUAGAUGGAUCCGCGCUGCAUUAGCUAGUUGGUAAGGUAACGGCUUACCAAGGCAACGAUGCAUAGCCGACCUGAGAGGGUGAUCGGCCACACUGGAACUGGGACACGGUCCAGACUCCUACGGGAGGCAGCAGUAGGGAAUCUUCCGCAAUGGGCGAAAGCCUGACGGAGCAACGCCGCGUGAGUGAUGAAGGUCUUCGGAUCGUAAAACUCUGUUAUUAGGGAAGAACAUAUGUGUAAGUAACUGUGCACAUCUUGACGGUACCUAAUCAGAAAGCCACGGCUAACUACGUG